UUUAUGGAGAGUUUGAUCCUGGCUCAGGAUGAACGCUGGCGGCGUGCCUAAUACAUGCAAGUCGAGCGAACGGACGAGAAGCUUGCUUCUCUGAUGUUAGCGGCG
Molecule: ribosomal RNA, 105 nt
Filed under: Escherichia coli
Lineage: Bacteria; Pseudomonadati; Pseudomonadota; Gammaproteobacteria; Enterobacterales; Enterobacteriaceae
Also listed under: 2 other names
Description: partial 16S ribosomal RNA
Rfam family: Bacterial small subunit ribosomal RNA
Source: RNAcentral